UCGAGAAUCUUCCGCAAUGGGCGAAAGCCUGACGGAGCGAUGCCGCGUGAGGGACGAAGGUCUUCGGAUUGUAAACCUCUGUCAUCGGGGACGAACCAAAUGACGGUACCCGAAAAGGAAGCCACGGCUAACCACGUGCCAGCAGCCGCGGUAACACGUGGGUGGCGAGCGUUAUUCGGAUUCACUGGGCGUAAAGGGUCCGCAGGGGGCCUGCCACGCCCGCCGUGAAAGCCCGGGGCUCAACCCCGGGACUGCGGCGGGUACGGCGGGCUGGAGUGUGUGAUGGGCAGACGGAAUUCCAGGUGUAGCGGUGGAAUGCGUGGAUAUCUGGAAGAACACCGAUGGCGAAGGCGGUCUGCUGGCACAUCACUGACCCUCAGGGACGAGAGUGUGGGUAGCGAACAGGAUUAGAUACCCUGGUAGU
This 424-nucleotide ribosomal RNA is filed under the name uncultured bacterium. Its description in RNAcentral is "bacterial SSU rRNA". It matches the Rfam family "Bacterial small subunit ribosomal RNA", at positions 355 to 794 of the family's 1533-position model. The record is from RNAcentral.